AGAAUUAAUGUGAAUUGCAGGACACAUUGAUCAUCGACACUUCGAACGCACUUGCGGCCCCGGGUUCCUCCCGGGGCUACGCCUGUCUGAGCGUCG
Molecule: ribosomal RNA, 96 nt
Filed under: Pteropus alecto (black flying fox)
Lineage: Eukaryota; Metazoa; Chordata; Mammalia; Chiroptera; Pteropodidae
Description: 5.8S ribosomal RNA
Rfam family: 5.8S ribosomal RNA
About the family: 5.8S ribosomal RNA (5.8S rRNA) is a component of the large subunit of the eukaryotic ribosome. It is transcribed by RNA polymerase I as part of the 45S precursor that also contains 18S and 28S rRNA.
Source: Rfam by way of RNAcentral